RNAcentral lists this ribosomal RNA (242 nucleotides) under uncultured Streptococcus sp. RNAcentral describes it as "partial 16S ribosomal RNA". It matches the Rfam family "Bacterial small subunit ribosomal RNA", at positions 1141 to 1382 of the family's 1533-position model. The record is from RNAcentral. Lineage: Bacteria; Bacillati; Bacillota; Bacilli; Lactobacillales; Streptococcaceae.
UAGCGAGACUGCCGGUAAUAAACCGGAGGAAGUGGGGAUGACGUCAAAUCAUCAUGCCCCUUAUGACCUGGGCUACACACGUGCUACAAUGGUUGGUACAACGAGUUGCGAGUCGGUGACGGCGAGCUAAUCUCUUAAAGCCAAUCUCAGUUCGGAUUGUAGGCUGCAACUCGCCUACAUGAAGUCGGAAUCGCUAGUAAUCGCGGAUCAGCACGCCGCGGUGAAUACGGUUCCCGGGCCUU